This 71-nucleotide transfer RNA is filed under the name Patescibacteria group bacterium. RNAcentral describes it as "tRNA-Met". It matches the Rfam family "tRNA". From Rfam's summary of the family: Transfer RNA (tRNA) molecules are approximately 80 nucleotides in length. Their secondary structure includes four short double-helical elements and three loops (D, anti-codon, and T loops). The record is from RNAcentral. RNAcentral also lists the same sequence under 2 other names.
AGCGGGGUAGAGUAAUGGUAAUUCGCGAGGCUCAUAACCUCGAGAUGCGGGUUCAAGUCCCGCCCCCGCAA